RNAcentral lists this ribosomal RNA (549 nucleotides) under uncultured Rhizophagus. RNAcentral describes it as "SSU rRNA". It matches the Rfam family "Eukaryotic small subunit ribosomal RNA", at positions 548 to 1098 of the family's 1831-position model. Lineage: Eukaryota; Fungi; Glomeromycota; Glomeromycetes; Glomerales; Glomeraceae. The record is from RNAcentral.
UUGGAGGGCAAGUCUGGUGCCAGCAGCCGCGGUAAUUCCAGCUCCAAUAGCGUAUAUUAAAGUUGUUGCAGUUAAAAAGCUCGUAGUUGAAUUUCGGGGUUAGUAGGUUGGUCAUGCCUCUGGUAUGUACUGGUCUCACUGAUUCCUCCUUCCUGAUAAUCCGUAAUGCCAUUUAUUUGGUGUUGCGGGGAAUUUGGACUGUUACUUUGAAAAAAUUAGAGUGUUUAAAGCAAGCUAACGCUUGAAUACAUUAGCAUGGAAUAAUGAAAUAGGACGUUCGAUCCUAUUUUGUUGGUUUCUAGGAUUGACGUAAUGAUUAAUAGGGAUAGUUGGGGGCAUUAGUAUUCAAUUGUCAGAGGUGAAAUUCUUGGAUUUAUUGAAGACUAACUACUGCGAAAGCAUUUGCCAAGGAUGUUUUCAUUAAUCAAGAACGAAAGUUAGGGGAUCGAAGACGAUCAGAUACCGUCGUAGUCUUAACCAUAAACUAUGCCGACUAGGGAUCGGAUGAUGUUAAUUUUUUAAUGACUCAUUCGGCGCCUUACGGGAAAC